GGUGUGACUGAAGAAAUAUCAAAUGUUUCCUAGUAAGACAGCAACUCAGGACUCUAGGAUGGAAGAAGGUGUCUGACCGUAAAUUACACCUGCAGUGCAACCAGCAGACUAAUGGGGAUGAGGUUCUGGUACAAGAUGAUGAACACCAGUAUGUCAGACAAUGACUUGGGAGCUGGAAUCAAGGACAUGACCAAGAGCAGCAAGAACAAAAGGGAGACUGACACAUUGAUCACUUUCUCAACCUUUGAUCUCUUGAGAGGAUGGUUCACAUUUGAGUAAAGACAGGGGAGUUUGUUUUCAGAAUGACAUACUAGUCUGCAGGAUGAAUUUCAUAACUGACAUUGCACCUUGGACUGCAACUAGGACUUUCACUGGAAUCAGAGAAAGAGUUUUGAAGAAAACUGGGCAUAGGCUCAGCAAAACCAAACAGAAGAGGAACAGAAAAAGAAACAAAAAGCAGAACAGUCAGAAUAGAAUCAUGGAGGAAAACUCAUUAGAAUUCUUAAGUGAUCUUACACCGGGAGAUCAGGACCCAUCUCAGAGUGAAGAGGAAGACAUUGAAAAGACCAGAAGAGAAUCAGAAUAUCCCUUCAUUGAUGGUCUACAAAAUGAAGUCGGAGAUUUUGUGACUGGAUAUAAAGAAAAAAGAUGGAAAAAUAAAGAUCCUAAAGACAGUUUCCAAAACGUUAUGUCUAUAGUUGAAUUAGACAACACACCAAAGAAUUACCUCUCUAAGGAAGGUGAUAACUUGUUUGUAAGUUUGUUACUGAGGCCAAAUGAAAUCUCCGUUACUUGUCCAAUACUGACUCAAAACCUUUCCUGUGUAACAACUGAUGACUGCUCUGGCAUGAAGGUAGAAAAGCAUAUUAGAAAUAGGCAUACCAUAGCAUUAGACACCCAGGACCUUUCUGCGGAAACUUCAUGCUUAUUUAUGAAGAAGAGAGAAAUAGUAGAUAAAAAUCUCUCACAUGAACCCAUUCUGUGCCAUCAACAUGGAAUCAGAAUGUCAGAUAAAGUUUUAAGAGAGGAACAAGUGUAUACAACUAAAAUCAAUCACUGGGCUUUUUUCACAACCAAUUUAUCUGAUGAAGAUUUACAGCUGGGCUCUGACAGACAGCCCUAUUUUGGUAGCUGGCCUGCAGGACCUCAUAAGUUUAUAUGUGAACAGAGACCAAAGAAAGAUAGAGCAUGUAAGUUGGCUGGUCCUGACAGCAGGGGGCAAUGGAUUCAAAUGAUCUUCACUUCGGUGGCAGCAUCAGAACCAGGAAACAAUCCAGAAAUAUUGACAGACAAACUACUGAUAGGAAAUGAAGAUUUUUCACCUCCACCUGAAACUAUGGAUUCAUUCAUAGAAACAAACCUCUUCAGAAGCUGCUUACCUCAACCGGAUAUACCAAAGAAUGCCUUAGAAUCAACAAAAAAUAAGAAAAGGAGGAAGAAAAGGAUUUUCAAUUUGGUACCAAAUUUUGACUUAUUAGGACAGAGUCGUAUCGGUGUAAAAGAAAGGGAGAAAUGUGACCUGUUAACAAAAAACCAUGGACUAAAAAUUACUUUGGGAGAAGAAAAAGAUAGAAUUUCAGAAAGGAACAGUGAAGAGGAGAAUAAACAAAAACUUAUGACCUUUGAUCAUCAUCCAUUGUGGUUUUACCUUGAUAUUAUCAAAGCUACCCCUUUAAAUAUUGAUGGACAGCGUUAUUCUCAUUGCCUGUCAUUUAACAGACUAAGGUGCUCUGCAUCUUUAUACAAAAAUUAUAUUCCUUCUUUUGUGCUACAUAAUUUAUCUAGUAUUUGGAAGCCAUCUUUUACAAACAAGAAACUGUUUUUGACUUUCGAAUCUCAGACAAGAGUAGGUAAUAAACUAAAUGAUGCAGGGUUUAUUUCUCCAGAAAUUUUACAUAGUCAUCCUGAUACUUCGUGCUCUUUGGGAGUCACUUCUGAUUUUCACUUUUUAAAUGAAAGGUUUGAUAGAAAGCUGAAAAGAUGGGAAGAACCUAAGGAAUUACCAGCUGAGGACAGCCAAGACUUAACAAGCACUGACUACCGUUCCCUUGAGCUACCAUUAUCACAAGGGUUUGCCUUUCAAUUAGUAAAGCUUUUUGGAUCUCCAGGCGUUCCAAUGGAAUCCUUGUUGCCUGAUGACUAUGUGGUUCCCCUUGACUGGAAGACACUAAAGAUGAUCUACUUGCAAUGGAAGAUGUCAGUGGAGAAAAGACAGAAGAAGAUUGGUUGAAAAAUGAAAAUUCCUUGAACUUUGAGUUCUGCUGUCUUCAUGGUACUGCUGAAGAUCAUGAUCACGGAGAAAAGUCAGAGUGCUCAGUGCCAACCCAAGGGAUUCUUUCCAGAGACGUACCCGUUGGAUACCAAAAUUAGUUUGGAUAAUCUGUUCAACCAUUCUUGAUAAGUUAUCUGAAUAAUAAAAAAACUCAACAGAGGAGGUAACAAUUUGAACAUUUUAUUGUCUAAUUUGAAGAUGUAUGCCAUACUUUGUUUGAUAGAAGAAAGUAAGGCACAGAAAACUUGAGUACCUUAUUUUUAAAACUGCAUUAGGAUUAAAAGGUUAGCCCCUAUAUCCAAGUAUUGGUCUGAGAUCCCAUUUCUAGAAUUCUGAAAUCCAAAAAGCUCUGAAAAUCAAUAGUUAUUUUUCCAAAUGUAUUCAUUGUGGUAAAAUACACCAAUAUAAAAUUUACCAUCUUAACCACUUUUAAGUGUGUUAUAAAUACAUUCAUGCUACCAUCACUAGCAUCCAUCUCUGGAACUCUUUUCAUCUUGCAAAACUGCAAUUCUAUACCCAUUAAACAAUGACCCAU
RNAcentral lists this long non-coding RNA (2807 nucleotides) under Homo sapiens (human). Its description in RNAcentral is "non-protein coding lnc-N4BP2L2-2:11". Lineage: Eukaryota; Metazoa; Chordata; Mammalia; Primates; Hominidae. The record is from RNAcentral.